Molecule: transfer RNA, 61 nt
Filed under: Sahlbergotettix salicicola
Lineage: Eukaryota; Metazoa; Arthropoda; Insecta; Hemiptera; Cicadellidae
Description: tRNA-Arg
Source: RNAcentral
ACAGAGAAGUAAAAUUUACAUUUAGUUUCGACCUAAAAUUAAAGAUAAUUAUCUUCAUGUU